This 73-nucleotide transfer RNA is filed under the name Anneissia pinguis. RNAcentral's name for it is "tRNA-Gln". It matches the Rfam family "tRNA". Rfam says of the family: Transfer RNA (tRNA) molecules are approximately 80 nucleotides in length. Their secondary structure includes four short double-helical elements and three loops (D, anti-codon, and T loops). Further hydrogen bonds mediate the characteristic L-shaped molecular structure. tRNAs have two regions of fundamental functional importance: the anti-codon, which is responsible for specific mRNA codon recognition, and the 3' end, to which the tRNAs corresponding amino acid is attached (by aminoacyl-tRNA synthetases). tRNAs cope with the degeneracy of the genetic code in two manners: having more than one tRNA (with a specific anti-codon) for a particular amino acid; and 'wobble' base-pairing, i.e. permitting non-standard base-pairing at the 3rd anti-codon position. The record is from RNAcentral. Lineage: Eukaryota; Metazoa; Echinodermata; Crinoidea; Comatulida; Comatulidae.
UAAGAAAUAGUAUAUAAAGGAAGUACUAAGAAUUUUGAUUUCUUAAGAACAAGUUCAAACCUUGUUUUCUUAA